GAAAUGCGAUAAGUAAUGUGAAUUGCAGAAUUAAGUGAAUCAUCGAAUCUUUGAACGCACCUUGCGCUCCUUGGUAUUCCUUGGAGCAUGCCUGUUUGAGUAUCAUGAAAUCUUCAAAGUAAAUCUUUUGUUAACUCAAUUGGUUUCUACUUUGGUAUUGGAGGUCUUUGCAGCUUCACACCUGCUCCUCUUUGUUCAUUAGCUGGAUCUCAGUGUUAUGCUUGGUUCCACUCGGCGUGAUAAGUUAUCUAUCGCUGAGGACACUGUAAAAGGUGGCCAAGGUAAAUUCAGAUGAACCGCUUCUAAUAGUCCAUUGACUUGGACAAUACUUUUAUGAUCUGAUCUCAAAUCAGGUAGGACUACCCGCUGAACUUAAGC
RNAcentral lists this unclassified non-coding RNA (378 nucleotides) under plant metagenome. RNAcentral describes it as "partial contains 5.8S ribosomal RNA, internal transcribed spacer 2, and large subunit ribosomal RNA". The stretch from base 1 to 105 matches the Rfam family "5.8S ribosomal RNA", at positions 50 to 154 of the family's 154-position model. The record is from RNAcentral.